Molecule: ribosomal RNA, 636 nt
Filed under: Triticum aestivum (bread wheat)
Lineage: Eukaryota; Viridiplantae; Streptophyta; Magnoliopsida; Poales; Poaceae
Description: partial small subunit ribosomal RNA
Source: RNAcentral
AUGGUCCGUGGAAAGACAGUGAUCGAGAAGAUCGAAAACAAGACAAGCCGACAGGUGACCUUCUCCAAGAGGAAGAGCGGAUUGUUCAAGAAGGGCAAGGAACUGGGCAUUCUCUGCGAUGCCCAGGUAGGGAUCUUCAUCUUCUCCAACACCGGACGCCUCUAUGAGUACUCCAAUUCCGGGAUGAAACCCUUAAUUGAAAGAUACCAGGCAGUUAAAGAUGGUCAAAAACUCCUGAGUGCAAGUGCCGAAGCUAAGUUUUGGCAAGCGGAAAGUGCUCGCCUGGAGCAGCAACUACGUAACUUGCAAGAGAAUCAUAGGCAGUUGCUAGGACAACAUCUAUCUGGUCUAUCUUUUGAAGACUUGAAGUGUUUACAAAAUCAGCUAGAAACGAGCUUGUAUAACAUUCGACUAACUAAGGACAAAUUUAUUGGCGAUGAAAUUCAAGAGUUAAACACGAAUGAAAGCCUCAUGCUCCAGGAAAAUAUAGAGCUACAUAGGAAAUUAAACAUCGUUCGUCAAGAGAAUACGGAAUUGCAAAACAAGAAUAAACUUCAAGGAGUCAUGUUUCAAAAAAAUCCAUUACCUUCCGGCUCACAAAAGAAGCUACCCAGGAUCAAAUUCUGUGUAAAUUAA